UGUCUUGUAAUUGGAAUGAUGGGAAUUUAAACCUCUUCCAGAGUAUCAAUUGGAGGGCAAGUCUGGUGCCAGCAGCCGCGGUAAUUCCAGCUCCAAUAGCGUAUAUUAAAAUUGUUGCAGUUAAAAAGCUCGUAGUUGAAUUUCUGCUGCAUUGCUUUUGCUCCUUUACGAGUCUUUGCAUUGUGGCUUAUUUCGGACUUUGUUUUACAAUGUCCGGAUGUUUACUUUGAGAAAAUUAGAGUGCUCAAAGCAGGCUUUCGCCUUGAAUAGUUUAGCAUGGAAUAAUAAAGUAGGACUUUGGUUCUAUUUUGUUGGUUUUAGGUACCAAAGUAAUGGUUAAUAGGAACAGUUGGGGGCAUUCGUAUUUAACUGUCAGAGGUGAAAUUCUUAGAUUUGUUAAAGACGAACUACUGCGAAAGCAUUUGCCAAGGAUGUUUUCAUUAAUCAAGAACGAAAGUUAGGGGAUCGAAGACGAUCAGAUACCGUCGUAGUCCUACC
Molecule: ribosomal RNA, 498 nt
Filed under: Theileria ovis
Lineage: Eukaryota; Apicomplexa; Aconoidasida; Piroplasmida; Theileriidae
Description: SSU rRNA
Rfam family: Eukaryotic small subunit ribosomal RNA
Source: RNAcentral